GCAUCGAUGAAGAACGCAGCAAACGGCGAAACGUCAUGUGACCUGCAUGCUUUGCGAAUCAUCAAAUCUUUGAACGCAUCUUGCACCUGCGGCCGUGCGGCCCAGGUAUGCUUGAUUGAGUAUCGUGACGACCAUCACGCCCAUGGGGACGCGGGCGUGGAGCUGAGGGUGAUGUCUGUCGUUGUGCGCGCCGAAUUGCUACUCGGCCGCCGGACGCAUCUCCCUUCAAAGGCAGCACGCAGCCGAUGAGGUAACACCGUCAGAGGCGCGCGCGUGGACGAGGGGUGGGCGCGGACGGUUGCCGUGCGCGCUCGCUCUCUCAUGUGAGGCAGUGGUGGUGGUGGUGGUGGCGUCGGUCAUUCUCGCAAUGGCCGCCGCCGCCGCCGCCGCCGCCACGUCUCUCGAUACAUCCAUCUCAAUCAAGUAAGAGGACCCGCUGAACUUAAGCAUAUCAAUAAGCGGAGGA
RNAcentral lists this ribosomal RNA (466 nucleotides) under uncultured fungus. RNAcentral's name for it is "eukaryotic LSU rRNA". The stretch from base 1 to 125 matches the Rfam family "5.8S ribosomal RNA", at positions 30 to 154 of the family's 154-position model. The record is from RNAcentral. Lineage: Eukaryota; Fungi.